Molecule: long non-coding RNA, 592 nt
Organism: Clupea harengus (Atlantic herring)
Lineage: Eukaryota; Metazoa; Chordata; Actinopteri; Clupeiformes; Clupeidae
Source: RefSeq, a predicted model, not a curated record
UAAUAUGAGUAGUGUAGUAUAAAUUAUUGCCUAAAGAGGGCGCACUUUGCCUUCUGUUCAAGGGAACUCCCCGCGAACAAGCGAUUCUUUUAUCCUUCCAAGAUUUUCCCAUGAGACGUGUGAGAAAGAGGCUCCCGGAAUUCGACAUCCAACUUGAGAGGGUCAAUUGAAGCAAAUCCCUAGCCUAAAUACCACACUGAAAACUCCGAUUGGUUUUUAUGUACAGCAGAAGAAUCUGAGAAUCUGAAUCCUGUGAACUUGAUGAUAAGAUGGCGAGCUAUACCCAGAUUUUGGAUGCGGUGUGGCCAACCGCGUGAUCCAGAUCGAACCUGAUAAGCAAACCACGAAAACAUCAGACCCCAGUCCUGCCGUCAGGAAGGCAGGUAGUACACACACAGACCGGACCAGAACGGAACUCCCGGAACUCUCAAGCGCACACACACUGAAAUGGACUGAAGGACCAUAUCCUGGAACUUUCAAGCACACACACUGAAAAGAUCUAUUCUUCCUUUUUUUAUUUUUCACUGUUUUACACUGUGAUUUGUGCCUGACCACGUCUGAAAACAAUAAACUGGUCAUUUGUUCAACUGUU